Camelina sativa (false flax) is the source of this 138-nucleotide non-coding RNA. The record is from RefSeq and is a predicted model, not a curated record. Lineage: Eukaryota; Viridiplantae; Streptophyta; Magnoliopsida; Brassicales; Brassicaceae.
CUCUCUUCUCUUUACUCAUUGAAGCUCUUCAAUCUAAAACUCUUUUGAAUCAACCAUUUAUCUCAUCUCAAAUUCAUAAAUAUGUCAUCACAAGGUCGUAAUAUGAAUGCAAACAUGGAUCCUCCUAUACGUAGACGG